This 253-nucleotide ribosomal RNA is filed under the name uncultured bacterium. RNAcentral's name for it is "partial 16S ribosomal RNA". It matches the Rfam family "Bacterial small subunit ribosomal RNA", at positions 524 to 776 of the family's 1533-position model. The record is from RNAcentral.
GACAGAGGGUGCAAACGUUGUUCGGAAUUACUGGGCGUAAAGCGUGUGUAGGCGGCUAAGCAAGUCGGAUGUGAAAGCCCCGGGCUCAACCCGGGAAGUGCACUCGAUACUGCAGAGCUUGAGUGUCGGAGAGGUUGGUGGAAUUCUCGGUGUAGAGGUGAAAUUCGUAGAUAUCGAGAGGAACACCGGCGGCGAAGGCGGCCAACUGGACGAACACUGACGCUGAGGCGCGAAAGCUAGGGUAGCAAACGGG